Long non-coding RNA from Sinocyclocheilus rhinocerous, 293 nucleotides. RefSeq lists it as uncharacterized. Lineage: Eukaryota; Metazoa; Chordata; Actinopteri; Cypriniformes; Cyprinidae. The transcript is spliced from 2 exons. The record is from RefSeq and is a predicted model, not a curated record.
CACUUCCAGCAGAGCCAGGAUCAGAUCCAAGUCUCCUCCGGUAAAGCCUUGAGCUCGUGGAAGAGGACGGAUGUGUGACACUGUGGAGAUUGAAGCUACAGAUGUUUUUGAUGCUGCUAUCCAUGAUUUUAUUUGAGAUUUUUAGGUGUAUGUAACUGUGAAGUUGUAAUUUUGCUACACAGUAAUUUGACAGAUUUUGAACUUAAUUUUUAUAGUCGGUUGUAAUUUGAUGUAUUUUUAUUGAAUGUAAAUGAUGUUUUCGGAGAUUGAAUAAAGACUUUUAUUUGAUACAC